Molecule: long non-coding RNA, 913 nt
Organism: Penaeus indicus
Lineage: Eukaryota; Metazoa; Arthropoda; Malacostraca; Decapoda; Penaeidae
Exons: 3
Source: RefSeq, a predicted model, not a curated record
AUUAUUAUUAUUACAGAAGCAAAGUAGUGCAGAAUAAACCCAAGCCUGAACAAAAUGAUGUAGGAUUUUCUUUCACAAGGAAGGCAAAGGUUGAGGCAGCCCCAGCAGGAGCUCCAGCAAGAGCUCCAGUCAGACCCAAAGGAUCUUGGAGUAAUGCAGUUGCUUCCUCUUCUCCAAGAGCACCUACCUUGGCAGCCUCCUUCUCUGCUUCAAGUGUAGACACCUCGUGUGAAGAUGACUUCCCUGCUUUGGGAGCAAGGAAUGGAUUUUCAGGCAAUAGUUGGAAUGCCCCAUCUAAUAAGAGAGGCCAGAAGAAGAAAUGAUAUAAAGGGUAUUUUAGCUGAUAAUUUUUAGUGGUGAUAAGGUAUGCAUUUCCCUAAGUUCAUCAAGAGGAAAAUUAUGUGAUCUUUUUCCUCCAUUUUUAGUUAUGGAAGCUUUAUUUUGUGUAUUGGUGAAGAUUCAUUUUGUUGUAUUGCCUUUUACUGUUGGUAAAAGCCGUUUCGUCUCCCAAGAAAAGAAAAUCAAUUUUUUUUUUCAAUGCUAUUUUCUUUCAUUUUGAUAUUGCUUUAGUGCUGUUUAAUUUAACUUGUUUUCAAAUGUAAGUAUUGUAUAAGUUCUACUCCCAAUAUAUUUUUUUUUGUUUUUUUAAUGCACUUUUGCAAACAUGCAGAAAGUUGAGUGGUGUUCAGUGCUUAGAAAUUUAGACAAUGGUUUGUUAAGAUUAAUUAUGAUUGACUUUAAAUUAAUAAUCUUUUAGUAAGAUAAUCAUGGGUUACAAGAAUGAGUCUUGUUUUUAAAAUGUAUUGUUUAGCUCAUUUAUAUUACUGAACUGUUACUUUCUGGCAAGAAAAAGUCUGAUGCCAUUAUAAAUGUGCCAACUAUUUUUAAUGUAAAAAAUAAAGUUCCAUUUCAA